UGUUGAGGUGGAAGAGGAGGAAGAACCAAGAGAAGGAGAAGAAGCAAAACCAGAGGAUGAGAAGAAGAAAACAAAGAAAACUAAAACUGAGAAGUAUUGGGAUUGGGAGCUGGCCAAUGAAACAAAGCCAAUAUGGAUGCGAAGUCCAAAGGAAGUUGAAAAGGAUGAGUACCAUGACUUUUACAAGAAAACAUUUAAUGAAUUCUU
Molecule: unclassified non-coding RNA, 207 nt
Filed under: Hevea brasiliensis (rubber tree)
Lineage: Eukaryota; Viridiplantae; Streptophyta; Magnoliopsida; Malpighiales; Euphorbiaceae
Source: RNAcentral